Arachis ipaensis is the source of this 821-nucleotide non-coding RNA. Lineage: Eukaryota; Viridiplantae; Streptophyta; Magnoliopsida; Fabales; Fabaceae. The record is from RefSeq and is a predicted model, not a curated record.
UCUUCGCCUCCUUCUAGUUUACUAUGUUAUUUGAUGAAGUAUAAUCAAUAAUGUGAAUAUAAUUAUUAAGGAUGAUUACCAAUAUUUAUGCUUAGCUACCGGAAGUAGUAGGCAUUUCAGGGAAUGAAUUUAUCUUAGUGUUUGUUAUUGUUUGUGUUUGUUUUCGAUAUUUUGAUAGGAGUUGGGUGGGUAAAAUUUGCCGAACUACAUCUUAGAAAUUUUUCAACUAGUUUGGUAGGAAAUUUUGGAAUUGCUGUCUUGUUCCUCCGUUGAAGGAACCUGAAUUAAAUUUAAUUUUUGUAGGUGUCAUUUAAUUCUUGCAGGUUCAUUAUGCCAGGAAGUUCUAUGAAAAUUUGGUACCAAGUUACACGGUAUACUAGGUUGAAUGCCCAGACUAUUUGAAACAAAAGCUGAAGUAAUGAAGUACAAUGUUCGAAGAUGUUGCAAGGCCUCAUUAGAUGUUGGCAUUCGGUCCAUAGUUGACUGGUUCUACUACAAGCAGUGGCUUUCUUCAGCAAUUCAAAAAAAUGUCACAAUUCCCGCAGCCAUGCAAAAGGUUUUAAAUUUUCCUUUGGGCAUAUUGAAGUAAUUGAUUUUUAUAUUUUUCAUAUAUUUUUUUAGGAGUUUAAUACUUACAGAUUACAAAUCCUGUUUCUCGGAUAGCUCAUCCGGAUUAGUUGCAUAAGAAAGUUGAAAAAGAGGACAAGUUUCGUCAACGAAAAUUAGUUGAUGUCUUUAACUCAUUUAAAUACUUAUAUAGACAUUUUUUGUUGUUUAGAUUUGUAUCAUGAUUUAUUAUUUUUCAAGAAAAAUUUGUGUAU